Molecule: long non-coding RNA, 302 nt
Organism: Salvia splendens (bonfire salvia)
Lineage: Eukaryota; Viridiplantae; Streptophyta; Magnoliopsida; Lamiales; Lamiaceae
Exons: 2
Source: RefSeq, a predicted model, not a curated record
GAGUAUUAGCUGGAGGGGAGCUUGCUGGCUGGAGUUUGCCUCUUUCGGGCCAACUCUCACUCACAUUUCUGAAAGGAACCGAGGCUGUUCUUCCUCGUGGUCUCGUCCUCUCGGCUCGUUCAAAAAUCUGGGGCCGAGACGGCCCUUGACGAAGGCCGAAGUAGCCCUUAGGGAUUUCUAAAUGUAAAAGUGUAGCUCGACUUUUAUUUUCGUCGUCAAAGAUUGUAACUUUAGUUUGAGAUUCUGAAAACUGUAAUUUGUACCCUUUCUCAAGAAAUAAAAAUACUAUUUCAUUCGUUAAA